ACGUGGUAUCCUGUCUGAAUAUGGGGGGACCAUCCUCCAAGGCUAAAUACUCCUGACUGACCGAUAGUGAACCAGUACCGUGAGGGAAAGGCGAAAAGAACCCCGGCGAGGGGAGUGAAAAAGAACCUGAAACCGUGUACGUACAAGCAGUGGGAGCACAGGUUUACCUGUGUGACUGCGUACCUUUUGUAUAAUGGGUCAGCGACUUAUAUUCUGUAGCAAGGUUAACCGUAUAGGGGAGCCGAAGGGAAACCGAGUCUUAACCGGGCGUUAAGUUGCAGGGUAUAGACCCGAAACCCGGUGAUCUAGCCAUGGGCAGGUUGAAGGUUGGGUAACACUAACUGGAGGACCGAACCGACUAAUGUUGAAAAAUUAGCGGAUGACCUGUGGCUGGGGGUGAAAGGCCAAUCAAACCGGGAGAUAGCUGGUUCUCCCCGAAAGCUAUUUAGGUAGCGCCUCGUGAAUUCAUCUCCGGGGGUAGAGCACUGUUUCGGCUAGGGGGCCAUCCCGGCUUACCAACCCGAUGCAAACUGCGAAUACCGGAGAAUGUUAUCACGGGAGACACACGGCGGGUGCUAACGUCCGUCGUGAAGAGGGAAACAACCCAGACCGCCAGCUAAGGUCCCAAAGUCAUGGUUAAGUGGGAAACGAUGUGGGAAGGCCCAGACAGCCAGGAUGUUGGCUUAGAAGCAGCCAUCAUUUAAAGAAAGCGUAAUAGCUCACUGGUCGAGUCGGCCUGCGCGGAAGAUGUAACGGGGCUAAACCAU
RNAcentral lists this ribosomal RNA (767 nucleotides) under Salmonella enterica. RNAcentral describes it as "partial 23S ribosomal RNA". It matches the Rfam family "Bacterial large subunit ribosomal RNA", at positions 424 to 1190 of the family's 2925-position model. Lineage: Bacteria; Pseudomonadati; Pseudomonadota; Gammaproteobacteria; Enterobacterales; Enterobacteriaceae. The record is from RNAcentral.